This 490-nucleotide ribosomal RNA is filed under the name uncultured bacterium. RNAcentral describes it as "partial 16S ribosomal RNA". It matches the Rfam family "Bacterial small subunit ribosomal RNA", at positions 28 to 507 of the family's 1533-position model. The record is from RNAcentral.
AUUGAACGCUGGCGGCAUGCCUUACACAUGCAAGUCGAACGGUAACGCGGGCUUGGUUGCUGCGUCGAGUGGGGGAGGCGUAAGGAAUGGAACGGAAUGUGCACCGGAGUGGGGGAGAGGGCUGAGAACGGGGGACGAAUACCGCAUACGCACUGUGUGUCAAAGCGGGAGAGCGGGAGCUUCCGCGCUCUUGGCGUCGGCUAUGCCCGGAUGGGAUUAGCUUGUUGGUGGGGUAAAGGCUCACCAAGGCGACGAUCCGUAGCUGGUCUGAGAGGAUGACCAGCCACACUGGAACUGAGACACGGUCCAGACUCCUACGGGAGGCAGCAGUGGGGAAUUUUGGACAAUGGGCGCAAGCCUGAUCCAGCCAUGCCGCGUGUAUGAAGAAGGCCUUCGGGUUGUAAACUGCUUUUGGCCGGGAGGAAGGGAGUUGAGUUAAUACCCUUGGUCAUUGACGGUACCCGAAGAAGAAGCACCGGCUAACUACGUG